AUGGAUAGGCAAGGCAUUUCACCUUCGGUCUACAACAACAACAACGAGUUCAAUGCCACGAACAACAACUCCUAUGCCAAGAUGCAAGCUCAAAUGGAGGAGAUCAAAGCCCUCAUCAAGUCCUACAAACGAUCUUCCUCAUCUUCGAGAAGACGCUCAAGAGCACAUGCUUCCGAGCUACCAUCUCCGGCAAGAUCACAUCGGCAUCGACACCAUCACCAACAAGAACGUGAAGGUCAAGAGCUCAACACCAACAACCGCUCAACGACUUCACCAUCUCCCUUAGCAUCUUCGCCAAGCGACUUCAAGGCAUCUUCGCCUACAGAAUACGACUUCUUCACCAACAAGCACCCCAUGAGACUACGCUCAAGAGAAGCUCCCCAAGCUCAAGUCCACGACUUCCACGAGCUACUACGACCUCAACAUCGACCAUGCAAUUCCUUUCUAUGA
This 450-nucleotide ribosomal RNA is filed under the name Triticum aestivum (bread wheat). RNAcentral's name for it is "partial small subunit ribosomal RNA". Lineage: Eukaryota; Viridiplantae; Streptophyta; Magnoliopsida; Poales; Poaceae. The record is from RNAcentral.